GCCAGGGUCCUGAUGACAUCCAGCUGGUAUCAAAAGGCAACUCAGAGAGGGAGAGAGAGAGAGAGUCACAAACCGAAAAACUGGUCAAAGUUCUAGAAAUGUUUGACCUUUGCUUUCAACAUGCAAGCCAGACUUAUAGCUGUUUCAUAAGAACAGAGCACCACCUUGUGUUGCCACCAGUAUACUGACCAUCAGUGAAUGCACCACAGCAGCAUACUCCUCUUCAAAACAUCUGUCCCAUCUGACUUAAAAGUCACUAAUGUAGCGCCAAUUUUUAAAAAGGGCUUGAGAGGCAGUCCUGGCAAUUACAGGAGACACUCAUUUACUAAGGGAAAUCUACUUCACCAUAAAAAAGUGCAAAGAAUUCAGACCAAAAUGCAGCAUUGCAAAAUGAGCACUUUAUUGUAUGAGUGAACAUACCGUGUUGAUGCCAGGAUAACAAUUGGAAGAUUCCUUGAGACAUCAUUAUUGGUGAUGGCCAAAUCACUGUAACAGAUGGGGAAACGUGAGACAGCACAAAAAUGACCUUGGGAAUCAAGAGUAUCACUCUAAUGUUUCAAAAGACGCUCCAGAGUGAAUGAAUGUUUACCGGAUGGUACCACAGGAGUUCAAAUACUGAAAAGACAUUUCAUGAUUACACUGACACCUUAUCUUUCUACCAUCUAUCGGGACAAAGUGAGUAAUUUGGCUUCAUAUUGUCUGGGAUAUUUAUUCUUUAGACAGACUGAAAAUUGUUGCAAAGGAAUGAGACCGCCUAUCUUGACAUAAAGGUAGUUUCAAAUAUCAAGAUCACUGAGAAUGGUAUGAAGCUACUAUAUUUGAGUGUAGACAGCAAUAAAACAUAACUCUUUUGGUGGAACGAGUGGCUUGGAUUCAAGUGAAGAGUAAAGAAUUGUCUAUACAUUGCAAUCAAGAUACUUUUCUCACCAGGAAGGAACACAGUUUUCAGUGUUUGCUGCUGCCUUCCGUGGAUGUCAGAAAUCAGGCCCAAAACAUUGAUAUUGUAGGACUCUUGGUGUCUCAGAUGCAGUUUAUUCCAGCAACAGAAGUAUGACUAGCAUUUGGGCAUAGCAAACAUUUAGAAUAUCUUACAGCAGAUGCUAUUGCAACAUAGGUAAAUUAAAGAUCUUACCAGUGUUCAACGCCUUCAUAAUAUGUAACAACACCAUCUCCUAUUCUUUGCAGAGACAGGCAAAAUGGCAUGGGAAACAUGGAAUAUAUUCCCAGUGGUAACUGUUGCCUUUUUGCAAUUACCCCAGCAUGUGUUCCUGAUAUCUGUAUAGCACAGCUAGAGAGAUAUGUGGGAUUUCUUUCUGAUCAAAGCAGAGAGUGGGGUUCAGUGAACAAAGACAGGCAACACUACAUUGUUCUGUAAGCAAUUGCACACUUGGGAGAAUAUUCCCCAGGGAAAGGCAUUGAUGUAACACACCAGGCAUGCUGCUUACCAAGCUGGGCAUACAGUAUUUGGAGGUACAGGGCUGACUCAUAGUUACACUAAGAUCCAUGUACACUGCUCUUGCAGGAAGUGUCAGAGAGCUGGUUAUAGCUCACAAUGCCACUAAGCUGCUGUUGGGUCCUCAUGAACUCCAUGCCAAUGGAAGAUUGGUGUAACAGAGCGGAGCUCCACCAGGCCCUUCCCCUCCUCUCUGACAUGCUCCCAAGUUGUGAGGGAAGAUCCACAAUCACAGUCCCAGAUCCAGCAGUUACUUCAAGGAGAGUUUCCUUGUACCAGGGGAAUUCGCUGUUGGAAACUGGCAGUCAGAUUGUGGUCCCUGAGCCGUGCAAAGGAGCCAGAUGUCAUUAGACAAUCUGGCUGAAUGUGCUGUCUUUGCAGAGCUCUGCCUGACACCCAUGGAAGUUCUGCCCAUGGAACAAGUGCAGACUAGAAACUCUUUGGGGCAGGGACUGUGAUUGUUGUACGUGUAUACAGCACUUAGAGCAGUGCUGCCUCCAUACCAAUAUUCAGGGAUGAUGAUAACAGUUAAUAAUAGUGAGGACAGCAGAAGAACAUUUUGCCUUUAGUAAGUCCAAGUCUUUUUGGGAAAAAGUAGAUGACGUAAGUGCUGACUUGAGGUUUAAUUUUCAGUCUUUUUUACAUGUGAUCCUGCAGAGAUUUUGCUAAUGAAAUAAAUGA
Long non-coding RNA from Chelonia mydas (Green sea turtle), 2134 nucleotides. RefSeq lists it as uncharacterized. The transcript has 3 exons. Lineage: Eukaryota; Metazoa; Chordata; Testudines; Cheloniidae. The record is from RefSeq and is a predicted model, not a curated record.